AAUGAUGAAUUUUGCCUUUUAAGUCAAUUAAUAAAGUUGAUGAUUAACAUAUGUCAGAUAGUGGAAUUUUAUCUCCCUGCAUAGCUCAAUAGAUGACUAUCGUUCCAUUUUGAGCCGUUCCCAGUAUUUAUCUUCUAUUAAGGGAGCUUUGACAUCUAAUUUUUGUCGCCAAGUUCUAAGGUCAUCACAUAAAACACAAGUUACACAGUUUAUUUCUGUUUUGACAGUGCAAUCUCUUUCUUAUUAACAAUGUAAUGCCAUGUAAGAUAAGAGAUUCCUUUUUGAUGGGCUAAUCAAGUGUACCUUUGAUGUGGAUAUGGCUUAGUGUUACUUUCGGGUACCUUUGAUCUAGAUAUGGCUUAGUGUUACUUUCGGGUACCUUUGAUGUGGAUAUGGCUUAGUGUUGCUUUCGGGAGUUAAAAUGUUUAGCAUGUUUUAUUCUUAAUGGUCACACAUGUCUAGAUUGAAGUUAAAUAUACGAGCAAAUGAAGGUGAUCAUUGCAUCAAAGUGAAAUGAUAGUUGUGGAAAUAAACUAAUUAGAUGAAUCCCCUUGAUAAAGGAAAAAGAUGCUUGAAAGUCUUAAGAUCUGAAUCACACUGUACUUGUUAAACAAUUUGUUGGUUUUUCUGAACUAUUUUUUUAAUCUCAUUGUAU
This 655-nucleotide long non-coding RNA is filed under the name Solanum tuberosum (potato). Its description in RNAcentral is "long non-coding RNA (STUB_LNC004411)". Lineage: Eukaryota; Viridiplantae; Streptophyta; Magnoliopsida; Solanales; Solanaceae. The record is from RNAcentral.